This is a non-coding RNA of Odocoileus virginianus texanus, 290 nucleotides long. The record is from RefSeq and is a predicted model, not a curated record. NCBI's taxonomy places the organism in Eukaryota, Metazoa, Chordata, Mammalia, Artiodactyla, Cervidae.
ACAUUCCCACGAUUAUUCUCCUCAUGAAAUUGUCUGUGAGAGACUCCCCCCAUAGUAAGACAGCUGUCGGCAAAUUUGCCACAGUGUCACAAGGGGAUCUUUAUUGGUUUGUCAUUGUGAGAAGUUUCUGGAUUCAUAGAGGCACAAACUGUUACAGCUUGGAGGGAGAGCCUUAUUCAUCCAUCAUAUUACCAGGCAUAUCACCAGACAUCUGCCAUAUCACCAGACAUUAUUUGGUCUUUACAAAAUUCUCUUAGUGGAAAAAAAAAUUCAAUUCCUUGGAAGACGGU